This 423-nucleotide unclassified non-coding RNA is filed under the name Mitchella undulata. Its description in RNAcentral is "partial external transcribed spacer". Lineage: Eukaryota; Viridiplantae; Streptophyta; Magnoliopsida; Gentianales; Rubiaceae. The record is from RNAcentral.
UUGGAUCCCUGCUUGGGCAGCGACGUCCUCCCGUGCAUUCCUCUUCAGUCGUUGGCACAAGAGCGAGUUUAGCCUUGGCCGUGCUCGUUGGUUUCCUGUGUUGCAUACCUUCACCGAUGGAAUUCGUUAGCCGAUUUGUCCCUCGUUCGCCUUACGCUGCCCGUUUGCACGGCACGGCUACGGGUGAACCCCAAAGCGAAGCUCGUGUUCCGUGUCACGAUGCGCUACCGGCGUUGUCGUCACGGCCCACUAGUUUUUGUUCGAUCUCCGGGAUACCGAAAACGUUGGGGGCACGAGGUCACCGACCUCUAUUUGCCCAUAAAUUGGCGUCACACGCCACAUUCGAACGACGUUGGCGUCGCACUGACGAUGUGCGUCUUGCGACCCGAUGUCCGUGAGGAAUGCUACCUGGUUGAUCCUGCA